RNAcentral lists this long non-coding RNA (489 nucleotides) under Ananas comosus (pineapple). RNAcentral's name for it is "long non-coding RNA (ACOM_LNC016085)". The record is from RNAcentral. Lineage: Eukaryota; Viridiplantae; Streptophyta; Magnoliopsida; Poales; Bromeliaceae.
UGGAUUAAAAUGUAACACUCACACGGAUGAUAUGACGCUUCUAAUCAAUCAAAUUGUUCUUUUGAAAUUCACCCAUCUCAUCAUAAUUUUUUAAAACAAUAUCUUUAUUUUAUUCGUUUUAAAAGUAAAGAUGUAAUUGACAGUAUAUAAAUAAGAUAAUGUGGUGUCAUUGCCACUUCCGCUCUACGCUCUACUUGAGAAAAAAAAAAAAAAAUAGAAUCGAAAUUGUAGUGGUCACACGAAUGCGUGGCGUCUCAAAUCAAUUAUAUUUUCUAUCUGAAUUCACUCAUCUCAUAAUAAAUUUUUAAAAAUAUUUUUAAAAAAUAAAUAUAAUUAGUUGAAUAUAAAUAGAAAAAAUUUUAAAUUCCAUUCUUAUGAUUUCGCACUAUCUCACAUUAGUACCUUAUGGUUUAAAGUGUAUUACAUUAGUACCCUAUGAUUUCGUUUUCGCUUUUUCUUAUUUUCUUCGUUAAUUUUUUCCUUAAAUUA